CAGUCGCCACGGUAAUACAGAGGAUUUAAGCGUUAUCCGGAAUGAUUGGGCGUAAAGCGUCUGUAGGUGGCUUUUCAAGUCCGUCGUCAAAUCCCAGGGCUCAACCCUGGACAGGCGGCGGAAACUACCAAGUUGGAGUACGGUAGGGGCAGAGGGAAUUUCCGGUGGAGCGGUGAAAUGCGUUGAGAUCGGAAAGAACACCAACGGCGAAAGCACUCUACUGGGCCGACGUUGACACUGAGAGACGAACGCUAGGGGAGAAAAUGGGAUUAGAUACCCCUGUAGUCCCUGUCUCUUAUAA
This 301-nucleotide ribosomal RNA is filed under the name uncultured bacterium. Its description in RNAcentral is "partial 16S ribosomal RNA". It matches the Rfam family "Bacterial small subunit ribosomal RNA", at positions 509 to 809 of the family's 1533-position model. The record is from RNAcentral.